Molecule: long non-coding RNA, 425 nt
Organism: Gordionus sp. m RMFG-2023
Lineage: Eukaryota; Metazoa; Nematomorpha; Gordioida; Chordodea; Parachordodidae
Exons: 3
Source: RefSeq, a predicted model, not a curated record
CACAUCAGAUGAUCGUGAUUUUAUAAAAGAAUAUUGUAGUAUUAUGCGACCAGUGUCCAAAGCCAUUGAUAUUCUUGAAGGUGAAAAGUACAUGUAUCUGGGUUAUUAUACCCCAACAAUAACACAAAUAAUUAUAUGUAUGGCAGAUGUGCAGGUAUUAAAAUAUUGUCAACCUCUAAAGGAUACUAUAUUAGCUAGUAUUGAAAAAAGGUUUAAUAAUCUUUAUGAUAAUGACAACAUCAUUGCUUCAAUUCUUCACCCUUUAUUUAAAACUGACUGGCCUUGGAUUAGGCAAGAAAGGAAUAAAGCAAAAAAGGAGGAAAUUUUAAAUUUAAUAAAUACCUUAAUACCUCAGAGUGAAUCCCAGACGAAUGAAUCAUGCUCAAAACCAACAUCACUUGAUGUAGUUGAAUUUUUUGACCUAA